This is a long non-coding RNA of Leptidea sinapis, 1224 nucleotides long. RefSeq lists it as uncharacterized. NCBI's taxonomy places the organism in Eukaryota, Metazoa, Arthropoda, Insecta, Lepidoptera, Pieridae. The record is from RefSeq and is a predicted model, not a curated record. The transcript is spliced from 6 exons.
AGAAUAGUCACAGAAUUCUUGUCUUAUUAAGACUAUAUAAGUAACGUAUAUUUUAGGUCAAACGCUCAAAGCAAGUUCAGUCUCUGGUUUGUAUUGGUAGCAUACAUUAUAACAAUGAAUUUCCGUGUUUUAAUACUUCUAACUUUGUGCAGCCUUGUGAAAUGCCAGGGUGGGCAAUCUUGUGAUGAAAUAAAAGAUUUUGUUGAUGGACAUAACGAUCGAAGACUGCAGCUCGCUAAAGGCGAAGUGCCAAAGCAACCAGCGGCUGCACUUAUGAACUCAGUGAUUUGGGAUGAGGCAUUGGCUGCCAAAGCGCAGAAUUGGGCUUCUGAGCAUGAAUCCGGUCAUAAUCCAAACAGAACUGACGGAUUAAAUAGAUUUUUUAUCGGCGAGAAUAUUUACACAUUUUCUACAAAAGACAAGACCUACAAACUAGACCCUAAAACUGCAUUGGAUUACUGGUUCAAUGAAAACAAGAACUACACAUAUGGACCUCUGCGACGAAAGGACUUUCGAUCUAAAAUGAUUGGAGAAUACACACAGAUGGUGUGGUCUGAUUCAGUAUACCUUGGAUGUGGUAUUUCUAGCGUCACGAAAGAUGGACUUCUACGUUAUUAUGUUGUAUGCUAUUAUGGGCCGGUGGGCAACUACAUAGGAGAGACUCCUUAUGAAAAGGGGUCUCCCAGCAAUAAACUAACCUGCGCAGUCGGCAACUGUGCCAAGCCGUACGGAGGUUCAUGCUAAUCUAAUAAUCAAUUUGGUUUAAACUUAGUAUCCCGUAGCAUAAAUUAUGAGGUAAAUGGACUUUAGUACACUAUUAUAAUGCUACCACUCUUAUUACAAGGUAUUGCACGGUUCCAGAGAAAAAGCAUUAUAACCUAAACUCAAUUUAUGACAUUUUUUAAGUGUUGGGACAAUUUUAUGGGGAGGAAUAAAAAGGAAACGCUUUCAAUUCGUUUCUAACACUCGCCGGCCGUUGCCGCGGCACGCUACGCUCUGCUCGUGCGUGGUUUUAACUGUUCUAAGAGAACCUAACGUAAGGAUUUUUUAUAAAUUGUAGUUCAUAGAGCUUUGGUCCAAUAUAGUGCUACUACUCUUAGUACAAGGUAAUGCGGGAUUCUAAGUACACCCCAUCUAUUUAUUAUAAUCUAAUAUUUCAUACGAAACUGAUAAUUAAUUUCACACAGCACACUUGUAUUCGAAUAAAGCAUUGUUAUGAACUAA